Molecule: non-coding RNA, 46 nt
Filed under: Schistosoma mansoni
Lineage: Eukaryota; Metazoa; Platyhelminthes; Trematoda; Strigeidida; Schistosomatidae
Source: RNAcentral
UGAUUGCUGAAGAGUCCCAUAAUAGGACUAAACAGCCGUCCAGUGC